RNAcentral lists this long non-coding RNA (896 nucleotides) under Setaria viridis. Its description in RNAcentral is "long non-coding RNA (SVIR_LNC008532)". The record is from RNAcentral. Lineage: Eukaryota; Viridiplantae; Streptophyta; Magnoliopsida; Poales; Poaceae.
GGCAAAACAAAUCCUAUCCUCCUCCGUUCCACCUAGUCACUCACCACUGCCCAUUCUAUCCGUGUGUGCUGCUGCGCGAGGUGAGACAACAAUGGCCCUGGAGACGUGCUUCAGAGCGUGGGCGCUGCACGCCGCCCCUGCCGGCGGCAAGGACAGGCUCCUCGCCGGCGGCAGCAGCACUAGCUUCGCGCCGUCCAAGCGAGCCGCCGCCGCCGCGCCGCUGUCGGUCGGCCGCGUCGCCACACCGCGGCCGCGGCACGUCUGCCAGUCCAAGAACGCCGUGGACGAAGGUACUCCGUAAUUAAAAUAAUGCUCUGAUGUGUCAUGGCUUUUAUUGAGCCUCCGAUGGUAUGGUAUGGUAUGGUAUGGUAUGGUAUGGUAAUGGGUGAUGGCCCUGCAGUGCUGGUGGCGGACGACGCGAACUGGGAUGGGAUGGUGAUUGCGUGCGAGACGCCGGUGCUGGUGGAGUUCUGGGCGCCGUGGUGCGGGCCGUGCCGGAUGAUCGCGCCGGUGAUCGACGAGCUGGCCAAGGACUACGCCGGCAAGAUCAAGUGCUGCAAGGUGAACACCGACGACAACCCCAAGGUGGCCUCCACCUACGGCAUCCGCAGCAUCCCCACCGUCCUCAUCUUCAAGGGCGGCGACAAGAAGGAGAGCGUCAUCGGCGCCGUCCCGAAGACCACGCUCACGACCCUCAUCGACAAGUACAUCGGCAGCUAGCUCCAUCACAACGAGCAUGUCCUCAACUGGGAUUCAUGACCAUCGACUUAAAUACAUACGUGCCCGUGCUCCCGCACAUACGCCAUCAUGUAUCUCUUGUUGCAUACGGAUGAUGCGAUGCGUUAAUUCAGGCAGCAGUCUGCUACUGCUCUCGGUUAUACUAUGUCCAAUCCAAG